This 470-nucleotide ribosomal RNA is filed under the name uncultured organism. RNAcentral's name for it is "partial 16S ribosomal RNA". It matches the Rfam family "Bacterial small subunit ribosomal RNA", at positions 330 to 797 of the family's 1533-position model. The record is from RNAcentral.
CGUACACUCCUGCGGGAGGCAGCAGUGAGGAAUAUUGGACAAUGGGUGGAAGCCUGAUCCAGCCAUCCCGCGUGCAGGAAGACGGCCCUAUGGGUUGUAAACUGCUUUUAUCUGGGGAUAAACCUACUUACGUGUAAGUAGCUGAAGGUACCAGAAGAAUAAGCACCGGCUAACUCCGUGCCAGCAGCCGCGGUAAUACGGAGGGUGCAAGCGUUAUCCGGAUUUAUUGGGUUUAAAGGGUCCGUAGGCGGACUGAUAAGUCAGUGGUGAAAUCCGACAGCUUAACUGUCGAACUGCCAUUGAUACUGUUAGUCUUGAGUAAGGUUGAAGUGGCUGGAAUAAGUAGUGUAGCGGUGAAAUGCAUAGAUAUUACUUAGAACACCAAUUGCGAAGGCAGGUCACUAAGUCUUAACUGACGCUGAUGGACGAAAGCGUGGGGAGCGAACAGGAUUAGAAACCCUUGUAGUCCC